ACUUCCCUCAACACUGAGAAUAAAUCCAGGAGAAGAUAAUUUCUCCUAAGGCGGAAAGUCCAUAUGGAAAUACAGCAAGAAGGCAGCCAUCUACUAUCCAUCUACGAGGAAGAGAGGCGGCUUCACCAGAACCGAGUCUGACAGCACCUUGAUCUUGGACUCCUAGCCUCCAGAACUCCUUAAGGAAAACAACUCUGAGGACUUUUGUCACGGACUUGAAAUUCUCAUCUGUGCUUGGACAAGACUCUGAAACAUACCAACUGUGUAUUUUCCUGCCUUUGAUAAUGAAGACCCCAGUGGAUUAUUAUUAGCAAAUGAAAACUGGAUAUCAAGAAGGGCAAAAUCUUCAACCUUAUCAGCAGAAAGAGUUUAUGUAAAAAUAUACCACAUAGAAUAACUAAAAAAAUAAGCAAGUGAUACCUUAUCUGAGCUCAAAAUAUCUGUUUCUUUGCAAAUGGAUAAAGGAUUUAUUAUAUUAUAGCACCUUGAGGACAGAGACUUUAUGUUUCUAACUACCCAUCCCAGCAUCAUCUAGUUCAUUCCUAUGCUGAACAGCCCCUAACACAUUGCCUAAAUAAAUACUAACAUUAUAUGUGUGCAAUGAAGUAUUCUUUUGCUAAAAGCAAAACUUUCAUAUGGUCUUACAAUAAGCCACUUGUAAGACUAGUUUUAAAUAAUUACUGAUACAAAUGCUGCCACUGCCCCCAAAGAAACCUGAAUAAAAUUAUGUUAGGCUGCACUAAUUUCAGUGUCAAGCUAUUUAACUCUGCUGAUAGUCAUUUUUUUAAAGAUCUUUUGAUCUUUAAAUUGAGAGAGUUGAACUAAAUAAUCUUUUAGAUAUCUUCUAGUUUAAUAUUCUAAGAUUCUAGUAAAUAUAUUGUGUUUGGUCAGGUGUGGUGGCUCAUGCCUGUAAUCCCAACAUUUUCAGAGGCUG
RNAcentral lists this long non-coding RNA (934 nucleotides) under Homo sapiens (human). Its description in RNAcentral is "HSALNT0139867". Lineage: Eukaryota; Metazoa; Chordata; Mammalia; Primates; Hominidae. The record is from RNAcentral.